This 253-nucleotide ribosomal RNA is filed under the name uncultured bacterium. Its description in RNAcentral is "partial 16S ribosomal RNA". It matches the Rfam family "Bacterial small subunit ribosomal RNA", at positions 524 to 776 of the family's 1533-position model. The record is from RNAcentral.
UACAGAGGGGGCAAGCGUUGUUCGGAAUUACUGGGCGUAAAGGGCGCGUAGGCGGCCUGCUAAGUCGAACGUGAAAUCCCCGAGCUCAACUCGGGAACUGCGUCCGAUACUGACAGGCUUGAAUCCGGGAGAGGGAUGCGGAAUUCCAGGUGUAGCGGUGAAAUGCGUAGAUAUCUGGAGGAACAUCAGUGGCGAAGGCGGCUGCCUGGCCCAAUACUGACACUCAGGUGCGACAGCGUGGGGAGCAAACAGG